AUUGAACGCUGGCGGCAGGCCUAACACAUGCAAGUCGAGCGGCAGCGGGAAAGUAGCUUGCUACUUUUGCCGGCGAGCGGCGGACGGGUGAGUAAUGCCCGGGGAUCUGCCCAGUCGAGGGGGAUAACUACUGGAAACGGUAGCUAAUACCGCAUACGCCCUACGGGGGAAAGCAGGGGACCUUCGGGCCUUGCGCGAUUGGAUGAACCCAGGUGGGAUUAGCUAGUUGGUGAGGUAAUGGCUCACCAAAGCGACGAUCCCUAGCUGGUCUGAGAGGAUGAUCAGCCACACUGGAACUGAGACACGGUCCAGACUCCUACGGGAGGGAGCAGUGGGGAAUAUUGCACAGUGGGGGAAACCCUGAUGCAGCCAUGCCGCGUGUGUGAAGAAGGCCUUCGGGUUGUAAAGCACUUUCAGCGAGGAGGAAAGGUUGGUAGCUAAUAACUGCCAGCUGUGACGUUACUCGCAGAAGAAGCACCGGCUAACUCCGUGCCAGCCGCCGCGGUAA
RNAcentral lists this ribosomal RNA (508 nucleotides) under uncultured bacterium. RNAcentral describes it as "partial 16S ribosomal RNA". It matches the Rfam family "Bacterial small subunit ribosomal RNA", at positions 29 to 523 of the family's 1533-position model. The record is from RNAcentral.